RNAcentral lists this long non-coding RNA (1802 nucleotides) under Triticum aestivum (bread wheat). Its description in RNAcentral is "long non-coding RNA (TAES_LNC012121)". The record is from RNAcentral. Lineage: Eukaryota; Viridiplantae; Streptophyta; Magnoliopsida; Poales; Poaceae.
AUAAAGAAGACAUUGGCGAUGACCCAACGACGCACUCCACGACAAGCUUGGUGACGAAGGGGUUGCCAGCAAGGAGGUGCUCCCUGAGCUAUUGAAACUGCAGCAAUCAGGCCUCCAUCUCAAGUGUGUGAAAAAACAUGAAUGAAGCCAAAUGAUUCACAGUACUUGAUGGACUAAACAUCUAGAAAGAAGCAUUUCAUCCACAACUGAAACUUAAGAGUGAUCUACUGACCAAGGUCAAUAACUUCUGGUCUAACCAAAGAUGAAAUAUACAAGGGUAGCAGAUCAUAGAACUUAUUAACAAGCCAGAAACCUUCUAUCUUCUGAAGAAAAUGAAAGCUAAAAUCUUCAGUGGGGGCAUACUUUCAAUUUUUUGAACAAUAUCAAGUGAUACCGCUUACAUAGUGAUCGUUCCUGUAAAGAGGAAGCACAUGGCCUAUCAUCAUUCAAUUCAUGCUUACUGGAAACAAAUAACUAAGAACAAAUAAGAUAACUUGCAGUAUAGGAGGUAACCCUUCCAUUUUAAUUGGAAAAUGCCAAAUAGUACAUGAUACAAAAAUAUAAUGUUCUGCAACUACCCAUUUUCUCAAAAGAGAGUAAAUUAUUAAACCAAUUCCCACUUCUAAAAAAAGGAAAAGAACUAGGGUAACCUUGAAGAUGCAUGUGCAAUUAGAACAACCAUGUAUCCUUGACCAACAAUGAGACUUAGAAUUGGCACAACACUCGACUGCAAUCAAGGGAACUGACCGGCAGUCAGAAUUCUGCAUCUAUCUAUUAAUGAACCAUUGGAGGAACAAGAUAUUCGGGAAAGGGAAUUGACUGGUAGUCAGAAUUCGGCAUCCAUCUAUUGAUGGAUCUAUUGGCAGAACAACAAGAAACUCAGGGAAUGGGAGCCGGCCGAGAAGCAGAUUGGGCACUCAUCGAGGUCGAGCCUGGUGUUGUCUGCAUUAUUACUUAUUAAGCAGGUCUCUAUUGCAGAGUGAAAUCAUCUGUUACCAAGAUUUUAAAUAAUAGAAAGAACAAUAACAGCAAAACAAAGAAAUUCAGGGAGUGGUCUCAUGAAGAUGUACUUCACAUUGUAAGAAAGAAGAAAGCUCAGAAACUGUGGUAUGAAACACAUUCACAUAACCAUUCUGAGUUGUAGCAAUAGUUCAAGGAGGAAGGCAAUGUUAAUAAGUUGGUACACCAAUCUAUUCCUAAGAAUGGUCAAUUUUAAGGGAUAAAAAACAAUAAUCUAUUCUUACCAAGCUUUUCAUUGGUAAAAAGUUCGGCACCCAAAUAACUUGUUAGCAGCAAAAAAUUUCAUUAAUGUGAAAAUAGAACUGCAAUAUGAUCUUUUAUGAGAAAAUAAACUAACAUGAGGUAAAAACGAGAGCAAACAUAGAUGGUAUGGCAGAAGAACAAAUGAAAAUCCUGAUGACAGGGUAUAAAAACAUGAUGAAACCAAUAUCGAAUAGGUAAACCAAUAAGUUCUUAAGAAAAAUAACCUGGAAAGCAAAUCACAAGCACAUCAAUGUCAAACAGAAAGAAAAAUUGUUUCUUAAAAUGAUAUCAUACUAUUUAGUAGUUAUAAUAUCUAUGACCAGAUAUAUAAUAACAAAGUUGAAUAAUUUUAGUCCGUUCAACCCUAGUUGAUGCAGCAAAAGAUGCACAAAAUAAUGACCUUUACAACAGGUUUGUCCGGUACUGGACAGAGACGGGUUGGAGCAGAGUGUCGUCCACAGUGAAUUGUGAGAGGCUGCAGCAGAGGGUUUCACGGCGAGGCGGCGGGCUCAAGCAGAACAAGCACGCAAAGAUGCAUC